Molecule: ribosomal RNA, 497 nt
Filed under: uncultured bacterium
Lineage: Bacteria
Description: partial 16S ribosomal RNA
Rfam family: Bacterial small subunit ribosomal RNA
Source: RNAcentral
GAUGAACGCUGGCGGCGUGCCUAAUACAUGCAAGUCGAGCCAACAGAUGAGGAGCUUGCUCCUCUGACGUUAGCGGCGGACGGGUGAGUAACACGUGGAUAACCUACCUAUAAGACUGGGAUAACUUCGGGAAACCGGAGCUAAUACCGGAUAAUAUAUUGAACCGCAUGGUUCAAUAGUGAAAGACGGUUUUGCUGUCACUUAUAGAUGGAUCCGCGCCGCAUUAGCUAGUUGGUAAGGUAACGGCUUACCAAGGCAACGAUGCGUAGCCGACCUGAGAGGGUGAUCGGCCACACUGGAACUGAGACACGGUCCAGACUCCUACGGGAGGCAGCAGUAGGGAAUCUUCCGCAAUGGGCGAAAGCCUGACGGAGCAACGCCGCGUGAGUGAUGAAGGUCUUCGGAUCGUAAAACUCUGUUAUUAGGGAAGAACAAAUGUGUAAGUAACUAUGCACGUCUUGACGGUACCUAAUCAGAAAGCCACGGCUAACUACGUG